Molecule: microRNA precursor, 139 nt
Filed under: Bombyx mori (domestic silkworm)
Lineage: Eukaryota; Metazoa; Arthropoda; Insecta; Lepidoptera; Bombycidae
Description: microRNA bmo-mir-3317 precursor
Source: miRBase by way of RNAcentral
AAUCGUUGAAAGGUUUGGGCUGCAUUUCUAAGACCAAAACUCAUUCGCGGAAAUUCAUAUAGACCGAACGGCGUGAUAAUUGCCGUCUUCUCUAUGUCGUCGGGGUUUACAGGAAUGUUGUGAUAAGCUCUGCAGACGU